This 1112-nucleotide ribosomal RNA is filed under the name Vibrio sp. RNAcentral describes it as "bacterial SSU rRNA". It matches the Rfam family "Bacterial small subunit ribosomal RNA", at positions 238 to 1342 of the family's 1533-position model. The record is from RNAcentral. Lineage: Bacteria; Pseudomonadati; Pseudomonadota; Gammaproteobacteria; Vibrionales; Vibrionaceae.
GGAUUAGCUAGUUGGUGAGGUAAUGGCUCACCAAGGCGACGAUCCCUAGCUGGUCUGAGAGGAUGAUCAGCCACACUGGAACUGAGACACGGUCCAGAUUCCUACGGGAGGCAGCAGUGGGGAAUAUUGCACAAUGGGCGCAAGCCUGAUGCAGCCAUGCCGCGUGUGUGAAGAAGGCCUUCGGGUUGUAAAGCACUUUCAGUCGUGAGGAAGGUAGUGUAGUUAAUAGCUGCAUUAUUUGACGUUAGCGACAGAAGAAGCACCGGCUAACUCCGUGCCAGCAGCCGCGGUAAUACGGAGGGUGCGAGCGUUAAUCGGAAUUACUGGGCGUAAAGCGCAUGCAGGUGGUUUGUUAAGUCAGAUGUGAAAGCCCGGGGCUCAACCUCGGAAUAGCAUUUGAAACUGGCAGACUAGAGUACUGUAGAGGGGGGUAGAAUUUCAGGUGUAGCGGUGAAAUGCGUAGAGAUCUGAAGGAAUACCGGUGGCGAAGGCGGCCCCCUGGACAGAUACUGACACUCAGAUGCGAAAGCGUGGGGAGCAAACAGGAUUAGAUACCCUGGUAGUCCACGCCGUAAACGAUGUCUACUUGGAGGUUGUGGCCUUGAGCCGUGGCUUUCGGAGCUAACGCGUUAAGUAGACCGCCUGGGGAGUACGGUCGCAAGAUUAAAACUCAAAUGAAUUGACGGGGGCCCGCACAAGCGGUGGAGCAUGUGGUUUAAUUCGAUGCAACGCGAAGAACCUUACCUACUCUUGACAUCCAGAGAACUUUCCAGAGAUGGAUUGGUGCCUUCGGGAACUCUGAGACAGGUGCUGCAUGGCUGUCGUCAGCUCGUGUUGUGAAAUGUUGGGUUAAGUCCCGCAACGAGCGCAACCCUUAUCCUUGUUUGCCAGCGAGUAAUGUCGGGAACUCCAGGGAGACUGCCGGUGAUAAACCGGAGGAAGGUGGGGACGACGUCAAGUCAUCAUGGCCCUUACGAGUAGGGCUACACACGUGCUACAAUGGCGCAUACAGAGGGCAGCAAGCUAGCGAUAGUGAGCGAAUCCCAAAAAGUGCGUCGUAGUCCGGAUUGGAGUCUGCAACUCGACUCCAUGAAGUCGGAAUCGCUAGUAAU